GCUCAACAUCUAAUGCCAUAGAACAGGGAGCAUUGACAAGACUGACAACUCGAAUGUCUGGUUUUUGAAUGUUUAACUGGCAUGACUCGUCUCAGCUUUGCUGCAUUGACAAGGCUUUCAACUCGAAUGUCUGGUUUUUGAAUGUAUGACUCACUUUUUAUGCUGUGUAAGGUAGACAUCUUAAAGAGAUUUACAAAGAUGUUCUCCUUCUAGACUUCUCUGGGGC
Molecule: unclassified non-coding RNA, 226 nt
Filed under: Hevea brasiliensis (rubber tree)
Lineage: Eukaryota; Viridiplantae; Streptophyta; Magnoliopsida; Malpighiales; Euphorbiaceae
Source: RNAcentral